This 75-nucleotide transfer RNA is filed under the name Veillonella criceti. RNAcentral's name for it is "tRNA-Gln(ttg)". It matches the Rfam family "tRNA". Rfam says of the family: Transfer RNA (tRNA) molecules are approximately 80 nucleotides in length. Their secondary structure includes four short double-helical elements and three loops (D, anti-codon, and T loops). Lineage: Bacteria; Bacillati; Bacillota; Negativicutes; Veillonellales; Veillonellaceae. RNAcentral also lists the same sequence under 9 other names. The record is from RNAcentral.
AGGGGCGUCGCCAAGUGGUAAGGCAAUGGACUUUGACUCCAUUAUGCGCUGGUUCGAUCCCAGCCGCCCCUGCCA